RNAcentral lists this ribosomal RNA (233 nucleotides) under uncultured bacterium. RNAcentral's name for it is "partial 16S ribosomal RNA". It matches the Rfam family "Bacterial small subunit ribosomal RNA", at positions 14 to 229 of the family's 1533-position model. The record is from RNAcentral.
GUAUCCUGGCUCAGGACGAACGCUGGCGGCGUGCUUAACACAUGCAAGUCGAACGAGAAUCUGUGGAUCGAGGAUUCGUCCAAGUGAAGCAGAGGACAGUGGCGGACGGGUGAGUAACGCGUGAGGAACCUGCCUUUCAGAGGGGGACAACAGUUGGAAACGACUGCUAAUACCGCAUGAUACAUUUGGGUGGCAUCAUCUGAAUGUCAAAGAUUUAUCGCUGAAAAGAUGGG